Molecule: unclassified non-coding RNA, 1644 nt
Filed under: uncultured fungus
Lineage: Eukaryota; Fungi
Description: sequence contains 18S rRNA gene, ITS1, 5.8S rRNA gene, ITS2, 28S rRNA gene
Rfam family: Eukaryotic large subunit ribosomal RNA (bases 529-1644)
Source: RNAcentral
GGAAGGAUCAUUAACAUGCCUCCAAAAACACAAUUUUUACACGCUCGCUCAAUCUAUUCGAUGAUUCACCGUAACAAGGAACAUCGUUAGAUAAUAAGACCGUAAACGGUAGAUGACUUGGCUUAUACACCGAUGAAGAGCGCAGCAAAGUGCGAUAAAUAGUGUGAAUUGCAGAAUUCUGUGAACCACUAAAUUCUUGAACGCAUCCGGCACCCGGGAUCAAACCCGGGUACACUCAGUUGAGUGUGGCACUUCCAAUUCUCUCCAAUCCAUCCGAGCAAGCUUGGCAACCUUGUCUUGGAAAAAAAGGAUAGAGAGGUUUCGGAGGCAAAGAGCUUUUAGCUUUUUCCUCUCAGAUAUCCACCCUCCUCCUCGGAGGACCGUUCCUAUACAAGGGAUCGGCACGUUUGAUUUUGGUGUGUGACUAAGGGAUCCACCAAGAGAGUGCUCUUUUCCUUUGGGAUGGAUCAAUGGGUGAAAGAAACAAACGAGAGGGACAACCACUCGGUUCCUCAUCGAAAAACACUGCCACCUCGACUUGAGUGGGAGUACCCCCUGAACUUAAGCAUAUCAAUAAGGGGAGGAAAAGAAACUAAUCAGGAUUCCCUUAGUAACUGCGAGUGAAACGGGAUCAGCUCAUACCCAAAUCUAGCGUGGCUAUGCUGCGUUCGAAUUGUAGUGUUUGGAGUGGUGCACGGCAUGAGUCGUGGAGGGAAGUGUGUUGGAAAGCACCGCCACAGAGGGUGAUAGGCCCGUACCUCCAUUGGCAUCGUGUUCACUGUGCUGCUUCCAGAGUCGGUAUGUUUGAGAGUACAUACCAAAGCGGGAGGUAAACUCCUUCCAAAGCUAAAUACGGGUAUAAGACCGAUAGCGAACAAGUAGCGUGAGCGAAAGUUGCAAAGAACUCUGGAGAGAGAGUUAAAAAGUCCCUGAAACCGUUUACGGGGAAGCGUUUGGCCCGACCCACUGUUGCUGGUGGCUCACUUGUCGAUGGGUUGUCUUCGUCUUGCAUACGAGCUAGACUUUGUCUGGUCUUAUCAGGGCAAGGUGGUUCAUUGGCAGGUUACUCCAUCGGUGGCAAUCAUCGACGGUGCCGACUUCAGUAAACUGGUGGUGAUUUGGUGCCUCCCAGGUCCUAGAUCUGGUGUGGUUUCAGUCGCUGCAUAUGCUGUCGUUGGUACUGGAUUCAUUAGUCAGUGCAGUGCGAUAUGGGUUUGUCCCGAGCAUUUCUGGUUGGGUGUACAGCUUGCUGUCCGCUCGGUUAGGGGUGUUCUACGGGCAGGUUCAUUAACUACUGGCUCAUCGAUGGUAUGGGUUGGACUAAAUGUCCCGUCUUGAAACACGGACCAAGGAGUCUAACAUGUGUGCAAGCCUAAGAGCUGCAAACUCGAAGGCGAAAUGAAAGUGACUCUGGAUGGGAAGGCGGUUUUACUGUCCCGCACCAUCGACCCAUCGUCCUCUCCGGAGGGUGUUGGCGUCAGAGUACACCUGUUAGGACCCGAAAGGUUGCGAACUAUGCCUGCAUAGGACGAAGCCAGGUGAAAACCUGGUGGAGGUCCGAAGCGAUACUGACGUGCAAAUCGUUCGUCAAAUGUGGGUAUAGCGGCGAAAGACUAAUCGAGCAGCCUAGUAGCUGGUUCCCUC